UGCCAGACUCCUACGGGAGGCAGCAGUGGGGAAUAUUGCACAAUGGGGGAAACCCUGAUGCAGCGACGCCGCGUGAGUGAAGAAGUAUUUCGGUAUGUAAAGCUCUAUCAGCAGGGAAGAAAAUGACGGUACCUGAUUAAGAAGCCCCGGCUAACUACGUGCCAGCAGCCGCGGUAAUACGUAGGGGGCAAGCGUUAUCCGGAUUUACUGGGUGUAAAGGGAGCGUAGACGGCAGCGCAAGUCUGAUGUGAAAACCCGGGGCCCAACCCCGGGAGUGCAUUGGAAACUGCCAGGCUGGAGUGUCGGAGGGGUAAGCGGAAUUCCUAGUGUAGCGGUGAAAUGCGUAGAUAUUAGGAGGAACACCAGUGGCGAAGGCGGCUUACUGGACGACUACUGACGCUGAGGCUCGAAAGCGUGGGGAGCAAACAGGAUUAGAUACCCGCGUA
RNAcentral lists this ribosomal RNA (446 nucleotides) under uncultured bacterium. RNAcentral's name for it is "bacterial SSU rRNA". It matches the Rfam family "Bacterial small subunit ribosomal RNA", at positions 329 to 792 of the family's 1533-position model. The record is from RNAcentral.